GUAGGUGAACCUGCGGAAGGAUCAUUAUUGAAUUUUGAAGGAGCUGUUUUGCUGGCCCUUUUAACCGGGCAUGUGCACGCUUCGCUCAAUUCCAUCUCCUUACCCCUGUGCACUCAUUGUAGGUCGGUCGGAAGGCCUUCCUAUGUCCUAUUAUAAAUAACCUCAUGAUUGUCGUGGAAUGCAUCGCGUGUAACGCAUCUUUAUACAACUUUCAGCAACGGAUCUCUUGGCUCUC
This 235-nucleotide unclassified non-coding RNA is filed under the name rhizosphere metagenome. RNAcentral describes it as "partial ribosomal RNA internal transcribed spacer region". The record is from RNAcentral.